UUGCUGGAGGUUGUUUGGGGGUUCGAUAACAUGAAAUCAUAUUUUGGCUUUAUUGACCAUAGGCUACACCUUUGUGUAGGUUGAGAGGUUGUGAGGAAUCCAAACUCACGACAUCCCUGCACUGGCGUCUUCUGCACGACCUGCCGUCUUUCAAACGCAACGGAGUGCUUUGUGACUGAAAAUGGCUUCACCCCCCACCUUUCAGUUUGGUGCUCAAAAGGACAUCAGGAGAUGUACACCACAGCAUUAGUCAUAUUCAGGAUUUGGGCCCAGUUACUCCUCACAUAAAGGAACACACACACACACACACACCCACACACUAGUGCACAUAUCCUACAGAGUGAUGAUGUGCUUUCAGAACUACCACCAGUAGCAUGUGUGGUUUUGGUGUUGCUGUUUUGCUGGUGUGUCUAUUCUGCUAUUAGUUCUCAGAACCAUACACACCACAGGAGGAACAGGAGGGGUUAAACUCCAUCACACACACACAUCACA
Long non-coding RNA from Clupea harengus (Atlantic herring), 492 nucleotides. RefSeq lists it as uncharacterized. The transcript has 2 exons. NCBI's taxonomy places the organism in Eukaryota, Metazoa, Chordata, Actinopteri, Clupeiformes, Clupeidae. The record is from RefSeq and is a predicted model, not a curated record.